RNAcentral lists this ribosomal RNA (321 nucleotides) under uncultured eukaryote. Its description in RNAcentral is "partial 18S ribosomal RNA". It matches the Rfam family "Eukaryotic small subunit ribosomal RNA", at positions 1470 to 1796 of the family's 1831-position model. The record is from RNAcentral.
CCCUUAGAUGUUCUGGGCCGCACGCGCGCUACACUGACGCAUUCAACGAGUCUCCUUGGCCGAGAGGCCUGGGUAAUCUUGUGAACGUGCGUCGUGAUAGGGAUAGAUUAUUGCAAUUAUUAAUCUUGAACGAGGAAUUCCUAGUAAACGCAGAUCAUCAAUCUGCAUUGAUUACGUCCCUGCCCUUUGUACACACCGCCCGUCGCACCUACCGAUUGGAUGGUCCGGUGAUGCCUCGGGAUUGUGGCCGGUGCAUUCAUUUGUGUCGGUUGCGAGAACUUGUCCAAACCUUAUCAUCUAGAGGAAGGUGAAGUCGUAACA